AGUCCCGCAACGAGCGCACCCUUAUCCUUUGUUGCCAGCACGUAAUGGUGGGAACUCAAAGGAGACUGCCGGGGAUAAACCGGAGGAAGGGGGGGAUGACGUCAAGUCAUCAUGGCCCUUACGAGUAGGGCUACACACGUGCUACAAUGGCAGAUACAAAGAGAAGCGACCUCGCGAGAGCAAGCGGAACUCAUAAAGUCUGUCGUAGUCCGGAUUGGAGUCUGCAACUCGACUCCAUGAAGUCGGAAUCGCUAGUAAUCGUAAAUCAAAAUGCUACGGUGAAUACGUUCCCGGGCCUUGUACACACCGCCCGAAAACC
RNAcentral lists this ribosomal RNA (319 nucleotides) under Proteus mirabilis. RNAcentral's name for it is "bacterial SSU rRNA". It matches the Rfam family "Bacterial small subunit ribosomal RNA", at positions 1083 to 1402 of the family's 1533-position model. Lineage: Bacteria; Pseudomonadati; Pseudomonadota; Gammaproteobacteria; Enterobacterales; Morganellaceae. The record is from RNAcentral.